UUGGAGGGCAAGUCUGGUGCCAGCAGCCGCGGUAAUUCCAGCUCCAAUAGCGUAUAUUAAAGUUGUUGCAGUUAAAAAGCUCGUAGUUGAAUUUCGAGACCAUCAUGUCGGUCGUGCCUCGGUACGUACUGGCAUUGUUGGUUUCUCCCUUCUGACGAACCAUGAUGUCAUUUAUUUGGUGUUGUGGGGAAUCAGGACUGUUACUUUGAAAAAAUUAGAGUGUUUAAAGCAGGCUCACGCUUGAAUACAUUAGCAUGGAAUAAUGAAAUAGGACGUUUGAUUCUAUUUUGUUGGUUUCUAGGAUCGACGUAAUGAUUAAUAGGGAUAGUUGGGGGCAUUAGUAUUCAAUUGUCAGAGGUGAAACUCUUGGAUUUAUUGAAGACUAACUACUGCGAAAGCAUUUGCCAAGGAUGUUUUCAUUAAUCAAGAACGAAAGUUAGGGGAUCGAAGACGAUCAGAUACCGUCGUAGUCUUAACCAUAAACUAUGCCGACUAGGGAUCGGAUGAUGUUAAUUUUUUAAUGACUCAUUCGGCGCCUUACGGGAAACCAAAGUGUUUGGGUUC
This 564-nucleotide ribosomal RNA is filed under the name uncultured Glomeromycotina. RNAcentral describes it as "SSU rRNA". It matches the Rfam family "Eukaryotic small subunit ribosomal RNA", at positions 548 to 1114 of the family's 1831-position model. Lineage: Eukaryota; Fungi; Glomeromycota. The record is from RNAcentral.